This 922-nucleotide ribosomal RNA is filed under the name Chaetothyriales sp. M-Cre1. Its description in RNAcentral is "eukaryotic LSU rRNA". It matches the Rfam family "Eukaryotic large subunit ribosomal RNA", at positions 1 to 939 of the family's 3401-position model. Lineage: Eukaryota; Fungi; Ascomycota; Eurotiomycetes; Chaetothyriales. The record is from RNAcentral.
UUGACCUCGGAUCAGGUAGGAAUACCCGCUGAACUUAAGCAUAUCAAUAAGCGGAGGAAAAGAAACCAACUGGGAUUGCCUCAGUAACGGCGAGUGAAGCGGCAACAGCUCAAAUUUGAAAUCUGGCCCUCACGGGUCCGAGUUGUAAUUUGGAGAGGCAGUUUUGGGCACCGCGGCGGUGUAAAUUUCUUGGAACAGAAUGUCAGAGAGGGUGAGAAUCCCGUCUUGGACCGCCGUAGGACCCGUGUAAAACUCCUUCGACGAGUCGACUUGUUUGGGAAUGCAGGUCAAAAUGGGUGGUAAAUUUCAUCUAAAGCUAAAUAUUGGCCAGAGACCGAUAGCGCACAAGUAGAGUGAUCGAAAGAUGAAAAGCACUUUGAAAAGAGAGUUAAACAGUAUGUGAAAUUGUUGAAAGGGAAGCGCUGGCAACCAGACUCGCGCGCGGGGUUCCCCCUUGCUUCUGCUCGGGUCACUUCCCCGCGUCCGGGCCAUCAUCAGUUUUGGGGGCCGGUUAAAGGUCUCGGGAAAGUAUCCUCUCCUCCGGGGGAGGACUUAUAGCCCGGGGCGUCAUGCGGCCUCCCGGGACUGAGGAACGCGCUUCGGCGAGGAUGAUGGCGUAAUGGUUGUCAGCGACCCGUCUUGAAACACGGACCAAGGAGUCUAACAUCUAUGCGAGUGUUCGGGUGACAAACCCUGGCGCGGAAUGAAAGUGAACGGAGGUAGGAAGGCCUGAGCCUGCACUAUCGACCGAUCCUGAUGUCUUCGGAUGGAUUUGAGUAAGAGCAUAGCUGCUGGGACCCGAAAGAUGGUGAACUAUGCGUGAAUAGGGUGAAGCCAGAGGAAACUCUGGUGGAGGCUCGCAGCGGUUCUGACGUGCAAAUCGAUCGUCAAAUUUGCGUAUAGGGGCGAAAGACUAAUCGAA